GAUAAGUUCAGAGUCUUGCUGCCAAGCCGAAAAGAAAACAAAGUUAUUAAGCUAAUUUCAAACACAUCAGAUAUCAGAGUCAGGAGAAACAGAGAAUAUCAGUUUAAGUUUAAAAAUCUAAAACAAAUAAAGCUAGAGAAACCACCAGCAGAGAAGAGAUUGUCCCAGGCCUUAAAUGCCUAACAACACCUAUUAAUGAUUUCCUCUAAUUCUUCGCCUAUGGAUUCAAUGUCUCACAUUCACCUUGACCAUUUUCCAUACCCUCUUACACAUUUUUGCUCAACACCAACUUUCUUCACUCAGGUCUUUCAGAAGAAACAAGAGAGCUCAUAAGCUACAUGACUAGAUAUUUGGGAAGUAUUUCUGAAUAUGCCAAAUGAUAAAUUACCUUUUCUAUUUUUCAAUGCUUUUUUUGUAAUCAUCAUAAAAUUAUUUUUUAAUUUUAAAUAUAUUUUAAAAUAUUAAGGAGUCAACAUGGAAUACCACCAAUAACCAAGAACUCACUCUUCAAUUUCACUAGAGAGAAUCUGAAUCAGUUGUUUUUCAGGGUUUUUUUUCUUUUUAACAUAACCUGGUCAAAAUAAUACCCUAGAUCAGUAAUUUUAAGUUCUUUCUUAUAUUUCUAAGGUCUUAUGGAGCUGUUUCAGCAGUUCACUUGGUCAUUUCUCCCACUUUGGUCAGAGAAGCUCAACUUUAAUAUUUUAUAUAUUAGGAUACUGUAUAAGAUUUAAUUUGGAAAAAAAGCAUUCUGCUUUAACAAUAUCAAAUAUAAACAAAAAUAACAAAUCUCAAAAUUUUGCAAACCACUGCAUUAAAAUAAGAACUAAAUACCUUUGUACUAAGUGCACAAUGUUAAAAGAAGAAAUGAUAUGACAAAUGGCGUACAGAUACAGUUUUCAAUAUCAUGUGUAUAUUUAGGCUUAAAUUGUAAAAUCUGCAUUUUAUAUACUGUCUUUUGCUUCAUAAGUACAGAAUAAUAAACACAGGCCUGGUGCGGUAGCUCAUGCC
This 1008-nucleotide long non-coding RNA is filed under the name Homo sapiens (human). RNAcentral describes it as "HSALNT0241703". Lineage: Eukaryota; Metazoa; Chordata; Mammalia; Primates; Hominidae. The record is from RNAcentral.